GACUCUUGACAAUGGAUAUCUUGGAUCUUGCAUUAACAAAGAAUGUAGAGACAUAUAAUACUUGGUGUGAAUUACACAAUUACAUGAACCAUCGAGUAUUUGAACAAGAGUUUCUCCCAAAUCUAUUAGGUUGAGGGCAGGUUUUUAUAGGUGUCA
This 156-nucleotide ribosomal RNA is filed under the name Capsicum annuum. RNAcentral's name for it is "5.8S ribosomal RNA". It matches the Rfam family "5.8S ribosomal RNA". Rfam says of the family: 5.8S ribosomal RNA (5.8S rRNA) is a component of the large subunit of the eukaryotic ribosome. It is transcribed by RNA polymerase I as part of the 45S precursor that also contains 18S and 28S rRNA. Functionally, it is thought that 5.8S rRNA may be involved in ribosome translocation. The record is from Rfam by way of RNAcentral. Lineage: Eukaryota; Viridiplantae; Streptophyta; Magnoliopsida; Solanales; Solanaceae.